This is a non-coding RNA of Meleagris gallopavo (turkey), 174 nucleotides long. The record is from RefSeq and is a predicted model, not a curated record. Lineage: Eukaryota; Metazoa; Chordata; Aves; Galliformes; Phasianidae.
AGUGGAUGAGAUGUUCCUCUCAUCAUACUUUGCUUUUUUUUUGCUUUUCCAGUGGAACAAACUGAAGCACUGGAAAAACCAUCUGAAGAAUUGGAUUGAGAGAUGAACUGUGCCUCACAGUAACCACAGGAGUUGAGCUUACCAGAUCACUGAUUGCAUUGGUUAAAAAAAAAA